Molecule: ribosomal RNA, 442 nt
Filed under: uncultured bacterium
Lineage: Bacteria
Description: partial 16S ribosomal RNA
Rfam family: Bacterial small subunit ribosomal RNA
Source: RNAcentral
CUACGGGAUGCUCCAGUCGAGAAUCUUCCGCAAUGGGCGCAAGCCUGACGGAGCAAUGCCGCGUGAGGGAUGACGGCCCUAGGGUUGUAAACCUCUGUCAGAAGGGACGAAGAACGUGACGGUACCUUCAGAGGAAGCCAUGGCUAACUACGUGCCAGCAGCCGCGGUAAUACGUAGAUGGCGAGCGUUAUUCGGAUUUACUGGGCGUAAAGGGUCCGUAGGGGGUCUGCCAAGUCUGAUGUGAAAUCCUGCGGCUCAACCGCGGAACUGCAUUGGAAACUGGCGGACUAGAGUGUGCGAGGGGUGAGCGGAAUUCCUGGUGUAGCGGUGGCAUGCGUAGAUAUCAGGAAGAACACCGAUGGCGAAGGCGGCUCACUGGCGCAUCACUGACCCUGAGGGACGAAAGCGUGGGUAGCAAACAGGAUUAGAUACCCUUGUAGUC